RNAcentral lists this long non-coding RNA (327 nucleotides) under Eucalyptus grandis. RNAcentral's name for it is "long non-coding RNA (EGRA_LNC002667)". The record is from RNAcentral. Lineage: Eukaryota; Viridiplantae; Streptophyta; Magnoliopsida; Myrtales; Myrtaceae.
UCGAGGGAGCUGAGAAGGAGGCCGCGGUGGAGUAGUUGAGGGACUUGACGUCGACGCGGCGAAGCCUGAGCUCGGGGUUCUUGACACGGACGAUGAGGGCGAACCCGAGGAAGGCGGCGCGGAGGAUGACGAUCGCGCGAGGGCGUAGACGAAGCACUUGCUGCUGCUGCGCCUCUGGUUGCGGCGAGGCGGCGGCUUCGCGAAGUGGGCGAGCUCCACGUCGUCGCUCCGGAGGGCAUGAUAGGGUCGGUCGGAUCUUCUUUAGGCAUCGCGAAAGUCAGAGUUCAAGUGAAUGCGAGAGAGCACGGGUCAUUGUUCUUGAUGGUG